Nannospalax galili (Upper Galilee mountains blind mole rat) is the source of this 129-nucleotide small nucleolar RNA. Its record names the gene U8. It matches the Rfam family "U8 small nucleolar RNA". From Rfam's summary of the family: U8 is a member of the C/D class of snoRNA which contain the C (UGAUGA) and D (CUGA) box motifs. U8 is the RNA component of a small complex (the U8 snoRNP) which is required for accumulation of mature large subunit ribosomal RNAs, 5.8S and 28S rRNAs. U8 RNA has been identified in human, mouse, rat and Xenopus. Lineage: Eukaryota; Metazoa; Chordata; Mammalia; Rodentia; Spalacidae. The record is from Ensembl.
CUGUCAGGUGGGAUAACCUUACCUAUUCUUCCUUUUGAGGGCAGAUAGAAAACGAUGGAGUUCGCAUGAUGCGUGAUUAGCAUCUCUGCAUAAUCAGGACUUGCAACACCCUGAUUGCUCCUAACUGAU